Molecule: ribosomal RNA, 562 nt
Filed under: uncultured rumen bacterium
Lineage: Bacteria
Description: bacterial SSU rRNA
Rfam family: Bacterial small subunit ribosomal RNA
Source: RNAcentral
AACUCAAGAAUUGACGGGGCCCGCACAAGCAGAGGAGCAUGUGGCUUAAUUCGAUGCACGCGAAGAACCUACCUGGUUUGACAUGCAGCUGCACGGACCGUGAAAGCGUCCUCCUUCGAGGUGCUGCACAGGUGCUGCAUGGCUGUCGUCAGUUCGUGCCGUGAGGUGUUUGGUUAAGUCCACCAACGAACGCAACCCCUGUGGACAGUUGCCAGCGGGUAAAGCCGGGAACUCUGUCCAUACUGCCCGUUUACGCGGGAGGAAGGUGGGGAUGACGUCAAGUCAGUAUGGCCCUUACAUCCAGGGCUGCACACGUGCUACAAUGGCCGGUACAGAGGGACCCCAAGCCGCAAGGCGGAGGAAACCCCUUAGAGCCGGCCCCAGUUCAGAUCGGGGUCUGCAACCCGACCCCGUGAAGUCGGAUUUGCUAGUAACGGCGCAUCAGCUACGGCGCCGUGAAUGCGUUCCCGGGCCUUGUACACACCGCCCGUCACAUCAUGAAAGCCGUCUGCACCCGAAGUCUGGCGUAUGUCAGCCUAAGGUGUGGGUGGUGAUUGGGAUG